Molecule: long non-coding RNA, 317 nt
Filed under: Sarcophilus harrisii (Tasmanian devil)
Lineage: Eukaryota; Metazoa; Chordata; Mammalia; Dasyuromorphia; Dasyuridae
Description: lncRNA (ENSSHAG00000023826.1)
Source: RNAcentral
GAAAGAAAUUAUGAAGCACCAGAACCACCAACAUUGGAAGCAAUGGAGAUCUGGAUGUUUGGGGGGAAGAGGAAGAGUUGGAGAGCAUGACCAGUGCACAUCAAUGAUGCAAUAUCCACAAGGAAACUGGAGAAACAGCUUCCAGAAAGGCCGUAUGAUAUGUGAUAGAAGGACCCUGCUUCAUGAUCUCAAAGAACCAUCCCAUAUAACAAAUAACAUUUUUCAAAGAAGAAGAAAAGACAUUGAAGAAGUCUGAAAACACAUGCAAUAUGUAAUCUUUAUACACUUCCCAACUCAACAAAGAGAUGUGUUGUGGG